UGGGGAAUAUUGGACAAUGGGCGCAAGCCUGAUCCAGCCAUGCCGCGUGUGUGAUGAAGGCCUUAGGGUUGUAAAGCACUUUCACCGGAGAAGAUAAUGACGGUAUCCGGAGAAGAAGCCCCGGCUAACUUCGUGCCAGCAGCCGCGGUAAUACGAAGGGGGCUAGCGUUGUUCGGAAUUACUGGGCGUAAAGCGCACGUAGGCGGAUCGAUCAGUCAGGGGUGAAAUCCCAGAGCUCAACUCUGGAACUGCCUUUGAUACUGUCGGUCUAGAGUAUGGAAGAGGUGAGUGGAAUUCCGAGUGUAGAGGUGAAAUUCGUAGAUAUUCGGAGGAACACCAGUGGCGAAGGCGGCUCACUGGUCCAUUACUGACGCUGAGGUGCGAAAGCGUGGGGAGCAAACAGG
This 404-nucleotide ribosomal RNA is filed under the name bacterium. Its description in RNAcentral is "partial 16S ribosomal RNA". It matches the Rfam family "Bacterial small subunit ribosomal RNA", at positions 355 to 776 of the family's 1533-position model. The record is from RNAcentral.